RNAcentral lists this long non-coding RNA (274 nucleotides) under Oryza brachyantha (malo sina). Its description in RNAcentral is "long non-coding RNA (OBRA_LNC001660)". The record is from RNAcentral. Lineage: Eukaryota; Viridiplantae; Streptophyta; Magnoliopsida; Poales; Poaceae.
CUCAACUUGGAAUCAAAGAGGUGGUUGAUCUUGCUCUAAGUGCAAACAGAAGCAGCCCAAUGGCCAUGGAUAACUCUAGCUACAGUCUGCCCACUUCCCAAACUCAUUCCCAGCAGCGGUGCCACAUAUGAGUAGAGACAUACUCCAUAAGAGAGUAAUGCUAACUCCACAGCACACACCCAAAGAAUCUCUGAAAGACGUGGUGCUGCUACCUUCUCGGAUGCCUCCAAGUCCUACUCCUACCACCAGCAGUGCUACUGACAAGUGUUGUUUG